This 253-nucleotide ribosomal RNA is filed under the name uncultured bacterium. RNAcentral's name for it is "partial 16S ribosomal RNA". It matches the Rfam family "Bacterial small subunit ribosomal RNA", at positions 524 to 776 of the family's 1533-position model. The record is from RNAcentral.
UACGAAGGGGGCUAGCGUUGUUCGGAUUUACUGGGCGUAAAGCGCACGUAGGCGGAUCCUUAAGUCAGGGGUGAAAUCCCGGGGCUCAACCUCGGAACUGCCUUUGAUACUGGGGAUCUCGAGUCCGGGAGAGGUGAGCGGAACUGCGAGUGUAGAGGUGAAAUUCGUAGAUAUUCGCAAGAACACCAGUGGCGAAGGCGGCUCACUGGCCCGAUACUGACGCUGAGGCACGAAGGCGUGGGGAGCAAACAGG